This 1206-nucleotide ribosomal RNA is filed under the name Ixodes confusus. RNAcentral describes it as "16S ribosomal RNA". The stretch from base 972 to 1130 matches the Rfam family "Archaeal large subunit ribosomal RNA", at positions 2544 to 2703 of the family's 2987-position model. Lineage: Eukaryota; Metazoa; Arthropoda; Arachnida; Ixodida; Ixodidae. The record is from RNAcentral.
AUUUAAUAAAAUAAAAUUUAAAAGAAAAAUUUAUUAUACAUUUUUUAAAAAAUAGUAUUAUAGAAAGAAAAGAAUUUUUUUUUGACUGAAAAGGAUUUUGAAAAAUUUUAAAUAGUUAAAAUAUAAAAAGUAGUUAAACGUACCUUUUGCAUAAGGGUUUUUUAAAAAAAAUUAAAAAUUUAUUUUUCCCGAAAUUAUUUUGAACUAUUUAUAUAAAAAUUUAAUUUAUUGCAACAAAUUAAAAAAUAUUUAAAUAGUAAUGAAAUUUUAUUCAAAAAUAAGGAUAUCUGGUUAAUAAAAGAAGACUUUAUGUCUAUCUAUAAAUUUUUUAUUUUUAAAUAAAAAUAUAGAUAAAUUAAGUAGGGAUAAGCUUACUUAAUUAAAUUAUAAUUUAUUUAUUUUAAAAAGUAAGGAAUAAUAUUGUCUUGUUUUGUAAUAAAAAGUUUAUAAAAACUAAAAGAAGUGUUAAUUUUAAAGUUAAUUAAUUAAAUUUAAAAUUAAAAAAAUAAUGAAAAAAUUAGUAUAAGAUUAAAAUAAAAAGUUGUAAUUAAAUUAUAAAAAUUAUUUUAAAUUAUUUAUAAGGAAUUCGGCAAAAUUUAUUAAAUUGGCUGUUUAUCAAAAACAUUUCAUUUUGUUUUUAUAAAAUGUAAUAUCUGCUCAAUGAAAAUUUUUUAAUUGCUGUGGUAUUUUGACUAUACGAAGGUAUUGAAAUAAGGCUUUAAAUGAGUGCUAAGAGAAUGAUAAAACAAUUUAAAUCUGUCUUUUAAAUAAAAAUAAAAGUUAACUUUUUAUGUUCAGAGGCAAAAAUAAUUUUAAAGGACAAGAAGACCCUAUGAAUUUUAUUUUUAUAUUUAUUAUUUAAUAUAAUUAUAAAAAUUAGUUGGGGCGACUGAAAAAGAAAAGGUAUCUUUUUAUUAAUUGGUUAUAAAUUUGAUCCAAUAAUAUUGAUAAAAUGAAUAAAAUACUCUAGGGAUAACAGCGUUAUAAUUUUGGAAAGUUCAUAUUGAUAAAAUUAAUUGCGACCUCGAUGUUGGAUUAGGAUACUUAUUUAAUGAAGAAGUUAAAUUAAGGAGUUUGUUCAACUUUUAAAUUCCUACAUGAUCUGAGUUCAGACCGGCGUGAGCCAGGUUGGUUUCUAUCUUUAUUAAUAUUUUUUUUUAAUUAGUACGAAAGGAAUUUUAAAAAGUAAAUAUUUAUCAAAAUAAA